CGUACACUCCUGCGGGAGGCAGCAGUGGGGAAUAUUGGACAAUGGGCGCAAGCCUGAUCCAGCCAUGCCGCGUGAGUGAUGAAGGCCCUAGGGUUGUAAAGCUCUUUCACCGGUGAAGAUAAUGACGGUAACCGGAGAAGAAGCCCCGGCUAACUUCGUGCCAGCAGCCGCGGUAAUACGAAGGGGGCUAGCGUUGUCCGGAUUUACUGGGCGUAAAGCGCACGUAGGCGGACUAUUAAGUCAGGGGUGAAAUCCCGGGGCUCAACCCCGGAACUGCCUUUGAUACUGGUAGUCUUGAGUUCGAGAGAGGUGAGUGGAAUUCCGAGUGUAGAGGUGAAAUUCGUAGAUAUUCGGAGGAACACCAGUGGCGAAGGCGGCUCACUGGCUCGAUACUGACGCUGAGGUGCGAAAGCGUGGGGAGCAAACAGGAUUAGAAACCCGAGUAGUCCC
Molecule: ribosomal RNA, 450 nt
Filed under: uncultured organism
Description: partial 16S ribosomal RNA
Rfam family: Bacterial small subunit ribosomal RNA
Source: RNAcentral